This is a long non-coding RNA of Poecilia latipinna (sailfin molly), 4542 nucleotides long. RefSeq lists it as uncharacterized. Lineage: Eukaryota; Metazoa; Chordata; Actinopteri; Cyprinodontiformes; Poeciliidae. The record is from RefSeq and is a predicted model, not a curated record. The transcript has 2 exons.
UUACCCCUUUAUUCUAAUACCCAUAUAUAAAAUCAGUGCUUUUUCAUAGAUAUACUGACAAAAUAAUCUUUUUAUUUAAAAAAGAAUUGAAUUCCUCUACAUUCAUUCCCACUUAAAAUGUCUCAAAUUACGCAAUUAAAUUGCACUUUUCAAACAUCAGAUAUGCAAUUUAUUAUGCUCCUGACUACUGAAGUGAGAGUGAACAUAAUAUAAUCCUUUGGUGCUUAGAUUUUUUGUUUAUUUUCUCUUUUUGAUCAUUUUUUAUUGUUUGUUUUCUUACGUCAUGUCAUUUUAGUUUAUUCCUUGUGUUAGUUCAGUAAUCUCAUUCUUUGUGUUUUGGAUUUGCUCCACUAGAUUAAUAUUAAUAUUUAUCCCUGUUAAUGUUCAGGUAUCCCUCUGCCCCCUUUCAUUGUUUUUUUUUUUUUUCUGUUUGUUUUUCACUUCUCCUCAGCUUCCAUUCUGGUCCCCAUUCCAGCUGUUAGUCAUUUCCUCAUUUGUCUCUACCUGCUCCCUUCCACAGCUGCAUCUGCUUACCUGUAAUUAGCUCUUCUGGUUUUUAGUCUCUCGCUAUUUUUGAACUGAAAGUGUCUGUCUCUACCAUCACAAAGAGAUUAGUUUCCCUUUCAAAGGAGAUGUGUAAAGAGGAAAUUUUUGCUCUCUAUUGCCCUAACCUUAUAGCUCUAAUUCAUGGAAGAUAAAGCAAAGAAGCCACAGCAAACUAGACAAACACGAGCACAAACACCUUCCCCCAGCUCCUCCACCGCCCCGCCUCCAUAUCCCAUGUGGGUAGUUGCAUCAGGAGCCUCUGACUGUUGUCAUGGAGCGAAACAUCCCCCAAAGGCCUCGGCGGGAUCACGCAGCCUUCCCUUUGCCUCCAACAGGCGACGUUAAAAAGCACCCUGCCAAGCUGCCAGCUGCCUUCCACAGGUGUUGUCAACAGGCAGAGGAAACAAGGAGGGGAGGCAGGGAAACAAACACAGACAGACCCUCUUCUUACAGAUGCUCACCGUGUCGGGUGCGUGUUCUCGGCACGGCCCCUGCUUACUUUCGCAGUCUGCAGCUGCAUCGCUGCCGAUCGCGUAGCAACCCCAGCUGGCGUCAUCAUCGGUACCCACAGGAGAUUUGGCAGCACACAAACACUGGCUGCAUGGAUGCACAACCAGCAGGCCAGAAAGAAAGCUGGCGCUUGGUCUAAAACAGCAAUUUCACCAGUCAACUUAAGCGUCUUAAAAGAGAUCAAAUGCUCGAUCUGAUGGUUUGAUCCACAUUGUUGGGCAGAUACAGUACUUGUCACUUCAGAGAAACCAGACACAAAACACACCCCAGGUUCAUCUUGGAAUGUAACACUGGAAAAGCAUGCAGGAACAUCGCAGGAGAAUGAAGAGUCAACAAGCAUUGAUUCUGAUCCCUUCUCUGAGUUCACAUUGCGAUGGAACAGCAAGUCCCCCCAUUAGUUGCAGUGCACUCAAACUCAGUUAUAUAGGAUUAUUAAGUCAAUGUGUUUUGUACACCACCCAUUAGAGGUUUCCUGAAACUAGCUAGGAGAACCAAGGAUCUCUGGCAACACCAUAGAGUCCCUGAAGAGGACUUGGUAAAUGCAGGAUGGAUUUUUUGAAGCAGAGGGCUUGGUUUGAUUUUAAACCAAAAUUGCAACAUUUGUUAAAACAAUAUGUAACCCUCUGAAGAAGACACUGAGGGAAGCUUUCAUCAGAUGAUUGUAGGAUUUCUCUUUUGCCUUUGUCAAAUGUACCAAAGAACACUCUUCAACAAUAAGAUGAGGCAGAAGGCCAUAGAGAAUGUUGCGCAGCACCAGUCCACUUCCUGCUUGUGGAGGAAUCUCUGGUCUGCUUGGCAUUCACAUAUGAACCACACCAGAGUUCAGUUCGACCGAGCGAAGACCGAAGUUUGUAGGAGGACCAGGUGUUGUUUUGGUCUGCAAUAGAGCUCAAUUGAGCAUUCAGAGCUAGAAAAGCAAACUGGAGCAAAUGAGCUGGAGUUGGGUUAAAACAGACUGAACUGACUGGUGUGAACACACCUGCUGAAACAUUAACAUUACUGUAUCUGUGAAGUGGGCAGAAGGGUUGUUUUUAUAAUAAGAAAGUUUAUUCUGGAUGGAAGAUGAUUUUGUGCACUAACGUCAAAACUUUUCACCCUGAGGGGCAAAAUCCCCAAAAACUCCAGCACCCAGAUCUUCAAUCUCUACAUAAAUGUUGCUUGAUGUGUGUGGUUUGUAGAAAAUCUAAAGCCAGGCCUUUGUCACCACAAGAUGAUGAAAACAUCUAAAUCUUUACUUUAAAGGAAGUCACAUAUUCAAAGUAAAGGAUCAGACUUUGUCUAACAGAAGGCAGAAUGCUCGCCUACCAUAGUAAUGUGUGCAGCACAAUUAAAGAGCCAGGACAAAUACACACAGACAGACUGGAAUCAGCAGUCAGCUAAUGGUCAGAAUGGGGGCAGUCUGCUUCCUGAAUUGUUAAUAAACCCUCUCUGAGACGGAGGGUUUGAUUGAUUGGUGCAGACCUGUAACAAUGUGAUCUUUAUUUCUGCUCUCAAACUCAUUUACCUUUUCUGUCUCUACUGUUCAGUUCCUCCUUCUUCCUCCUGCUUUAUCAGCAGCGGCUCCCAAAAAGCCUUGAUGAAUCGUCUCUGAAUGUUGGAGCGCAGCUAUGGAGUCCAAACACCACAUUCAUCACUGGUUCUCACCAGGAAGAGUCAUUUUUACAUCGGUGUUUGCUCACUGUAGAUUUUUAUCAGCUUCUGUUUGAAUGGCUGUUGUGGACGAUUACCAUCUGUGUGUGUAGGUGUGUGUGUGUGUUCUGAGAUGUUCUAAAUGGGUAUGCAUGUCCACUAUGCUGUCUUUAUCACACCCGACUUCAGGAUAGCAAUCGGUUUUUGCUUGUGCUCUUGCCUGGUAGAUAAUUAUCACUUGGUAUGUGUGUGUGCAUGGUUUUUCUAUUUGUCUGUGAGUCACGUCUCAGACAGACAGGUAAACACACCACCUCUCAUCUUGUUGACUUCACCUAAGCUUCCAGAUUGUAUUUUGACAGCGCCGAUCGUCUUGUACCAAAUCCUGGAAUCCUGCACCAGACACGACGCCUCCAGGAUCUUAUUAAACAGAAAAGGGAUACAGGAGUGAAGAAGUGGCACAAAAUAAAAUGGACGUGCAGCAUGGAGUAGAGUACUCGUUAUUAGAAAUGACUGGCUGUUUUUGUACAGGAAGGUCAAUGUGGAUAAGGGGAGAGACAGAGAUGUUUAGCAGCAAAGUGCUUUCUAAUGUGUUGUCAAGGCCGAGACGAAGACGAUAAGAUAGCGAUCCCUGGCAGCUGUGUGAGUCUGGUUGCCAGAGAGCUUCUCCAGCUAAUCUAUGCACACCAGAGAUGGGGAGCCGAACAGCCAGAGAUCAUUGAGAUGAGCGUGAGGAAAUGAAAACGGUCAAAAACAAAAGAAGAACAGUAUCCUUUUGGAAUCGUCUUGAUUCACCCAGAGAGUGAAUCUUAUUGAGUGAGAAAGGCCCGUUAGCAGCCUAUCGAAAGCGGUGUCUUUCUACUUUUGAGAAAUGCAUCUCCUCCUGCAGUCUAGCGUCUCUUUCCUCCUCACCUGCUCACCAAUACCUUCUCUCAUUUCUUUUCUUCAAGCCUCCUGAGCUAAGGCCAAUCUGUCUGCUCGCCAUCCAUCCACUUCAUCCCCAUCUUCUUCUUCUCUCCCAUCACUCCUCUUUCUCUGCUGCAUUUUUCUCCUCUCACCUUGCCGUCUCAUUUCUCCCUCCCUCACCCUCUUUUAAAAAGCCUGUUGCUGAUCCAUCAGCCUUGCUGCUGGAGUGCGCUCCCACUCCUUUCUCACGGCAAGUGAAGUCUCUUUCUGAAGAGGAAGGUAGCCUCUACUCCACUUCGAUACCAGCCAGUUAUUAAUUACUCCCCAAUUCCUCAUCUGUCUGCAGAGGGAAGUAAUUACGUCGCGGCCCGUUUCUCCCCCUUCGCCGGCAUCAGAAAUGACGCGAUAACCAGAAACCCAAAUUACUCCCGCUGAUGAGACAAUCAUUGAGCGAGAGAGAGCAGGCCAAAGAUUUUUCAGCCCCACUGUGCUUCGCCCUGUCAGAGUAAUGGCGCCUUGAUUCAGUCUGGGAUGUCUUCCCGACAUAUUCGCCGGGCGUUUCCAAUUUCCUUCUCGCAAAACACUAGAAGAUGGGUAGGGAGAGAUAGGCAGAAUGAAUUAAACACGGAUUUUCCCUCUGUCUUUCUGUUUUUUUCUUUUUCCUUCUCUGCUUCUCUAUUUUUUGCUCCUUAGAAGAGAGAGCAAUCAUGAGUUGUUUCCAGCUCCAAUCAGCGUUCUGCAGCUGGAGAGGAGUGAUGAUGGAAGAGGAACAUUAGCACCGGAUCCUCAUCUGCCUCUGAAGACAGAAGGAAGGAAGAAGUGAAAAAACAAUUAAAGAUUCUUUUCAUUUUCAGGCUUUCUGCGUGUUUUUCUUCAGACACACAGGUGUACCUUGAUAUAUUCUGACACUUCCUUCAAUCAGUGUGUGGAAUGUAUAUCAAUAAAUAAUUUUCC